GCCCGGGUGGCGGAACUGGUCAGACGCGGCUGGCUUAAAACCGGCUGUCCGUGAGGGCGUGGGGGUUCGAGUCCCUCCCCGGGUA
Molecule: transfer RNA, 85 nt
Filed under: Paraconexibacter antarcticus
Lineage: Bacteria; Bacillati; Actinomycetota; Thermoleophilia; Solirubrobacterales; Paraconexibacteraceae
Description: Paraconexibacter sp. 02-257 tRNA-Leu
Rfam family: tRNA
About the family: Transfer RNA (tRNA) molecules are approximately 80 nucleotides in length.
Source: RNAcentral